Molecule: RNA transcript, 2806 nt
Organism: Prunus dulcis (almond)
Lineage: Eukaryota; Viridiplantae; Streptophyta; Magnoliopsida; Rosales; Rosaceae
Gene name: CDPK-related kinase 5-like
Exons: 11
Source: RefSeq, a predicted model, not a curated record
GCACCGCCCCAAAAACCUCUAGUGCCCAAAAAUACCCAAUCCCAAGUUCCCUUCCCAACCCCAAAAUCCCAAUUCACAAACAAAAACCCCUCAACCAAAAAGAAAAAAAAGAAAAAACUCCAUGUGCUUGACCCGUGGCCAGUGAGAUCAUACAAGGCUACAAGCUACACCUCACUCCCUCACUUCCAUCUCCUUCAGUCCUCUCUCUCUCUCGUCGUCCUCCUCCCCCAACAAAUCUUCAUUCUCUCUCAACACAUUUACACCUUUUCCCCACCUUUUAUAAUUAACUCCAACAGCUCCACCAGCCCUUGCCUCUCUCUCUCUCUCUCUCUCUCUCUCUCUCUCUCUCUCUCUAUGCAACACAAGAAAAGUGGAGCAACAACAACACCCAACAGCAUUCACAAACAAACCCUAGAGCUAGAGCUACACUGACACACAUUUCCACAAUGGCACAUCCAUAGCCAUUGAAUUAAGCAACCAUUCAACCUCAAAGCCUCAACCUUUGACCCAGUUGAGCUCAGACCUCUCAAAUCCCCCACUCACACUCUUCAUUUGAAUUCACCAUGGGAACCUGCACUUCAAAGCCACCAAAACCCAACCCAUAUUCCUCCAGAGACCCAAACGACCAAACCAACCCUUCACAAACCCCAAAAUCCCUCCCAUCCCUCACCCCUCACCACCACAAGGACGACGUCAUUUCCCGGCAGUCCCAGUCCCAGUCCCCCUUCUUCCCCUUCUACAGUCCGAGCCCCGCCCAUUACCUCAAGAAGUCGUCUCCGGCGAGGACCAAGAGCGCCACUUCCACUCCCAGCCGCUUUUUCCGGCGACCCUUUCCGCCGCCGUCGCCGGCCAAACACAUAAAGGCUGUGCUGGCUCGGCGGCUCGGCAAAAAGGCCUCGGCUUCGGUGGCGAUACCGGAGGAUGCUGAGGACGAAGAUGGGGUUGAGCUGGACAAGAGGUUUGGGUUUUCUAAGGAGUUAACAAGCCGAUUGGAGGUUGGCGACGAAGUGGGUCGAGGGCAUUUUGGGUAUACUUGCUCUGCUAGGUUCAAGAAGGGUGAGUUUAAGGGUCAGCAGGUUGCUGUCAAGGUCAUCCCCAAAUCAAAGAUGACAACUGCCAUUGCAAUCGAGGAUGUGAGAAGGGAGGUCAAGAUAUUGCGUGCCUUGACGGGACAUAGCAAUCUAGUUCAGUUCUAUGAUGCAUUUGAAGACAGUGAUAAUGUCUACAUAGUAAUGGAGUUAUGCGAAGGUGGGGAGCUUUUAGAUAGAAUACUUUCAAGGGGCGGGAAAUACUCGGAAGAUGAUGCGAAGACUGUCAUGGUUCAAAUACUGAAUGUUGUUGCGUUUUGUCAUCUUCAGGGUGUGGUGCAUCGGGAUCUUAAGCCAGAGAACUUUUUGUAUUCCGCUAAGGAUGAGAAUUCCCAGUUGAAAGCCAUUGAUUUUGGCUUAUCAGAUUUUGCCAAACCAGAUGAGAGGCUUAAUGAUAUUGUUGGAAGUGCAUACUAUGUCGCACCUGAGGUUCUACAUAGAUCUUAUAGUACAGAGGCUGAUGUUUGGAGCAUAGGUGUAAUAGCAUAUAUUCUUUUAUGUGGUAGUCGCCCAUUUUGGGCCCGGACUGAGUCUGGGAUUUUUCGAGCGGUGUUGAAAGCUGAUCCCAGUUUUGAUGAAGCACCUUGGCCGUCUUUAUCUCCUGAAGCAAAGGACUUUGUUAAACGCUUAUUGAACAAGGACCCUCGGAAACGAAUGACAGCAGCGCAGGCUUUAAGUCAUCCUUGGAUCAGGAAUUAUAAUGAUGUAAAAGUGCCUCUUGAUAUUUUAAUAUUUAGACUCAUGAAGGUUUAUAUGCGAUCAUCAUCACUUCGAAAGGCUGCUUUAAGGGCCUUAUCUAAGACAUUGACUGUGGAUGAGCUCUUUUAUCUGAAGGAGCAUUUGCACUAUUGGAGCCAAACAAAAAUGGCACUAUAACUCUUGACAAUAUUAGAAUGGCCCUGAUGAAAAAUGCUACAGAUGCAAUGAAGGAGUCUCGCAUUCCUGAUCUCAUUGCAUCGCUAAAUGCACUUCAAUACAGAAGAAUGGAUUUUGAAGAGUUCUGUGCAGCUGCAUUAAGUGUUCAUCAGCUGGAGGCACUUGAUCGUUGGGAACAACAUGCACGAUGUGCAUAUGAACUUUUCGAGAAGGAUGGAAACAGGGCAAUUGUCAUUGAAGAACUUGCUUCAGAACUUGGACUUGGUCCCUCAAUUCCGCUUCAUGUGGUUCUCCAUGACUGGAUUAGGCACACUGAUGGGAAGCUAAGCUUCCUUGGCUUUGUGAAGUUGUUGCAUGGUGUGUCCAGCCGGACGUUUGUGAAAGCAUAGUGAAGUUAUAGAACAUUAUUUGGGUAUGCGUUUUAACCAAACGAGAUGUGCUAUGUGUUGAUAGACGACGUGCAUCCAAUGAUUGAUUUUCAAGAUUUGGAGAUCUGAUAAGAUGGCCAAUUUACAAUCUGCUUUGGCACAUAGAAAGAGCCUUCCGUGCCAAUUUGGGGAGAGAGGCUUGAACUUCCCGCACACUGCAGGUGCAAGCCUGGUUACCAGUUUGAAUGCUGUGUUGUUGAUAUUCAGAGUGUAAAGCUGUAGUUAGUUUGCCUAAAUGGGUAAUUACAUAUUCUUCAACUCCUUAGAUGCAUUGUACACGUUAAAUUAUCCUCGUCUCCCCCAACAUCUGUCCAGUUACUGUGAAACAUGCUUGAAUGAAUUGCCUCAGUAUUGGAAAACUCCUCUGUGGCUUCAAUUGAAAACCAAGCUUACAAAGAGUGUGGUAACUAAAAA